Molecule: long non-coding RNA, 259 nt
Filed under: Elaeis guineensis (African oil palm)
Lineage: Eukaryota; Viridiplantae; Streptophyta; Magnoliopsida; Arecales; Arecaceae
Description: long non-coding RNA (EGUI_LNC054812)
Source: RNAcentral
CUGUUAAGGGUUACUCUGAUGGGAUAUGGGUAUAUGUAUCCCCCUGACCUGAGGCUGGCUCGAUGACUAGGAAGCAACUUACUAUGUUUUGGUGCUGGACUAUCUGAAUUUCUAAUUCGAUGAUGGAAGAUUUUUGGAUAUAGUCAAGUACUUGUGAAAUCUGAGUACGAGUCAAUAUGGGAAUGACCGCUCCAAGUAAAAUUAGAGAUGAUGCAUCACUGUAUUUUAAUUCAGUAAAAUUUUGGUCAAAGUAGUCCUA